Molecule: transfer RNA, 59 nt
Filed under: Oulema erichsonii
Lineage: Eukaryota; Metazoa; Arthropoda; Insecta; Coleoptera; Chrysomelidae
Description: tRNA-Trp
Source: RNAcentral
AACAGCGUAAUUUUUUUUAAGAGUUCAAAUCGAAAAAAGAGAUUGCGACCUCGAUGUUG